Molecule: ribosomal RNA, 253 nt
Filed under: uncultured bacterium
Lineage: Bacteria
Description: partial 16S ribosomal RNA
Rfam family: Bacterial small subunit ribosomal RNA
Source: RNAcentral
UACGAAGGGGGCUAGCGUUGCUCGGAAUUACUGGGCGUAAAGGGAGCGUAGGCGGACAGUUUAGUCAGAGGUGAAAGCCCAGGGCUCAACCCUGGAAUUGCCUUUGAUACUGGCUGUCUUGAGUAUGGGAGAGGUGUGUGGAACUCCGAGUGUAGAGGUGAAAUUCGUAGAUAUUCGGAAGAACACCAGUGGCGAAGGCGACACACUGGCCCAUUACUGACGCUGAGGCUCGAAAGCGUGGGGAGCAAACAGG